Non-coding RNA from Aegilops tauschii subsp. strangulata, 2232 nucleotides. Lineage: Eukaryota; Viridiplantae; Streptophyta; Magnoliopsida; Poales; Poaceae. The record is from RefSeq and is a predicted model, not a curated record.
GUCUCCGCGGCGUUUUUGCAAAAAAAAACCUCCCCAGACUCCCGACAUAACCCGCACUACUCGUCUUCUCAAGUCGACACUCCGCCGCUCCGACAUAGGCGCAUGGACGCCGGAGCUGCCCUGCGCCGCGCGUCCUCCGCCGCCGCUGCAGCUGCCUCUUCUGCUGCUCCCUUCUGCCUCACGCAGAAUCCCUGCCUCCCGAAUCUCUCCUCUUUCUCCCCAAAAAUCGUUUCUUCUUCCUCCCGCCGCAUCUCCUGCUCGCGCCCACCCCCUCCCUCCUAGCGUUGAUGGAAGAAGCGUGGCCGGCCCUCGGCCCGGCGGUCGGCGACGCGGCCCUCCGCCCCCGCCUCCCCCCGGCACCUGUGGCGUGGGGCGUGGCCGUGAUGGCGCGGCGGGAGACGGUGCCUAAGGAGUCGUCCGCGCAGGCGGUGAGCCGGAUCGUGUCCAGCUGCGCCAACUCGACCGGCCUGGCACCCGUCCUCCCGUCGUCGACGCCAACGCCGUCAUCUCGCUCGCCUCCACCGCGGGCCUGCUGGUCACGAUGCCAGAGGUGCUCGAGGAGGUGCGCGACGCCGCAGCGCUCUGGAGGCUCGCGCUCCUGCCCACCCCCGUCGAGACCAUCGAGCAAGAGAGUAGGGCCAGCUCGAACCGUGUGCACCAGGAAGAAGGCUAGCUCGAACAUUGUUUGGUGAAGCAAGCAGCUGAGCUGGUUUUGUUCUUGUCGCCUUGGAUUGUGCAGCGAUUGGAGGAGGACUUGGUGCAGAGGAAUGGAGUGCGAGUACGGAUGCUGCUUCCGUUGAUCUCAGAAAUUGACAGGUUUUGGAAGAAAAUGACAGGUUCUGAACAUCAACUUGACUGGGUAAUAUAGUGCCAAUUCUGAUUGUUAACAGCAGAAUACAGUUAAUAGCAGUGUAAUGGAGUGAGAAAUCUUACUGUAAAUUCAGCUACUGUAGUUAUUGAAACUUCACUUUAAACUUCCAGUACACAAAAUUCAGUUAUCUUUUUAGUAGGAAAAUUUCUGUAACAAAUUUCAGAAGCUUGUAUUUUCACACAUAUUGUGCUCUAGCUGAUACAUCUGCGUGUUCUAGCAUUCUCCUUCCAAUGCAUACCGAUAUGAAACUUCUUCUUUGUUUAAUUUUUUGAGCUAUUGCUGCUGCUUAAUCAAACAAUGCAUACCGAUCUGCUGCUGCUUAUGUUUGGGACUUUGGGGUGCUGCAUCGAUGUGCAUCAAACAUGAUUAAGUUUUUUUCCAAAAUGCUUCAGACUGCUAGAUUCAGUUUCUAGUGAUAAUCCAAAAUGCUUCAGACUGCAUAAAAUGCUUCUUUUGCUGUGAUAAUCCAAAAUGCUUCUUUUGAGUACAGUAGCUGUCAAAUUUAGCCUAUCUCGAGCUUGGGCUUGAGAGCUUCUUUAGCAAGAUCACUGAAUGCAGUGUACUCCGCUGGAGCUUCUUUAGCCUAUCUUGAGCUUGAGCUUGGGAGCUAUCUUGAGCUUGCGAGUAUAUUUGUACGUUUGCUCACAAUGGUGUACCGAAAAUUGCAAGUUAUAUAGUGUAGUGUUUUGUAAAUUCAGACUAGAUUUGAGCAAGAUAAACUUUACUGUUAUGAUUGAUAAAGAAAACUUUAGUGUUAUUUAGAUUCAGAGCAAGUAAAGGAAAAUUUAAUAAAAUUUGUCACUGUCAAAACUGAAACAUGCAGGAUGUGGUAUUAAUGUAGUGUUAUGCAUUUCUUUAUCAAUCAUCCUGAUGCCGUCGUGUGGACAUGUGGUAGCACUGAAUAAUGAAUUUGUGUUAACACUGAAUUUGUGGACAUGUGGAUACUGAAUUUGUGUGGACAUGUGGUAGCAUUUUCUUUAUCAAUCAUUGGUUCAUGUAAGUACUAUAGACCUUCUACAUAUAAUCUGAACAUAUAGAAGCAUUUCUUUAUCAAUCAUUUUCUUCUCUAGAGGAGUAACCUUGCCUCAUCAAUGGUGAGAUAAACAGUGGUAUUGGAUAUUUUCAGUAGAAUCACUAAUGGAGAAAAUGGAUAGUGCAAAGGCCAAUAUGAUCUUCUUAUUUAACUAAUCAUCAAAACAUACCCUAGUUAGUCUUGAGGAAUCUGGUGGAAUCACAUUGCUUGUUUCCAAAAUAAAUUGAUUGAUUGUGCACUGAAAAUUGAUUGAUUUUUUUAGCAAAUUUAGAUAUGUUUAUUCCUAAUCUGUUAUUUUUUAACUUUGCAAAUAAUCUAUUUCAUUUAA